GAUGAAGAACGCAGCGAAAUGCGAUAAGUAAUGUGAAUUGCAGAAUUCAGUGAAUCAUCGAGUCUUUGAACGCACAUUGCGCCCCCUGGUAUUCCGGGGGGCAUGCCUGUCCGAGCGUCAUUGCUGCCCUCAAGCACGGCUUGUGUGUUGGGCCCCCGUCCCCGCUUUCCCCCGGGGACGGGCCCGAAAGGCAGCGGCGGCACCGCGUCCGGUCCUCGAGCGUAUGGGGCUUUGUCACCCGCUCUGUAGGCCCGGCCGGCGCCAGCCGACACCCAACUUUAUUUCUAAGGUUGACCUCGGAUCAGGUAGGGAUACCCGCUGAACUUAAGCAUAUCAAUAAGCGGAGGA
RNAcentral lists this unclassified non-coding RNA (348 nucleotides) under soil metagenome. Its description in RNAcentral is "partial contains 5.8S ribosomal RNA, internal transcribed spacer 2, and large subunit ribosomal RNA". The stretch from base 1 to 120 matches the Rfam family "5.8S ribosomal RNA", at positions 35 to 154 of the family's 154-position model. The record is from RNAcentral.